RNAcentral lists this long non-coding RNA (404 nucleotides) under Heterocephalus glaber (naked mole-rat). RNAcentral's name for it is "lncRNA (ENSHGLG00100035716.1)". The record is from RNAcentral. Lineage: Eukaryota; Metazoa; Chordata; Mammalia; Rodentia; Bathyergidae.
GCGGUGCCCCGCACCAAGUACCAGGUACCAAGCGCCAGCACCCGGACCGCCGCCCUCCGCGGACUCCGCAGGGCGCCGCCGACCCCCAAACUCGCAGAACUCAGAAGGUCACGUGGUUGUGGAGCCGGACGGUGGCUCGCAAGGACCGAUUCUGCAGGCACUGCUACCCCUCCCGAGGCCCAGUUAGGAAUUGGAGCAGAAGCUCUACAGGAAGAGAACAGGAGAACCUUUCCUUGACUUGGUCUGCAGUCUUUGCUCACAUCACCGAGUAGAGGAUUUUUCUCCUCUAUGGAACACACUGUACAGGCUGAGUAUGAGACAUUUCCUCUGUGGCUGCUCAUGAAGUCAUUUUCCUCACAGAAAUACUGCAUUAAACUGUCUUUAUGUUUACAUGUAUGAGCCAC